This 257-nucleotide ribosomal RNA is filed under the name uncultured bacterium. RNAcentral's name for it is "partial small subunit ribosomal RNA". It matches the Rfam family "Bacterial small subunit ribosomal RNA", at positions 27 to 285 of the family's 1533-position model. The record is from RNAcentral.
GGGACGAACGCUGGCGGCGUGCUUAACACAUGCAAGUCGAGCGGUAAGGCCUCUUCGGGGGUACACGAGCGGCGAACGGGUGAGUAACACGUGGGUGACCUGCCCUCAGCUCUGGGAUAAGCCUGGGAAACUGGGUCUAAUACCGGAUAUGACUUCUCCUCGCAUGGGGGGUUGUGGAAAGUUUUUUCGGCUGGGGAUGGGCCCGCGGCCUAUCAGCUUGUUGGUUGGGUGAUGGCCUACCAAGGCGACGACGGGUA